CCUACGGGUGGCAGCAGUGGGGAAUAUUGCACAAUGGGGGAAACCCUGAUGCAGCGACGCCGCGUGAGUGAAGAAGUAUUUCGGUAUGUAAAGCUCUAUCAGCAGGGAAGAAAAUGACGGUACCUGACUAAGAAGCCCCGGCUAACUACGUGCCAGCAGCCGCGGUAAUACGUAGGGGGCAAGCGUUAUCCGGAUUUACUGGGUGUAAAGGGAGCGUAGACGGCCAGACAAGUCAGAAGUGAAAGCCCAGGGCUCAACCCUGGGACUGCUUUUGAAACUGCCGGGCUGGAGUGCAGGAGAGGUAAGCGGAAUUCCUAGUGUAGCGGUGAAAUGCGUAGAUAUCACGCAGAACUCCGAUUGCGAAGGCAGCAUACCGGCGCCCAACUGACGCUGAAGCACGAAAGCGUGGGUAUCGAACAGGAUUAGAUACCCUGGUAC
This 438-nucleotide ribosomal RNA is filed under the name uncultured bacterium. RNAcentral describes it as "partial 16S ribosomal RNA". It matches the Rfam family "Bacterial small subunit ribosomal RNA", at positions 338 to 793 of the family's 1533-position model. The record is from RNAcentral.